UGGGGUAUCGUCUAACGGUAGGACGCGUGGUUCUGGCCCACGUAGUGGAGGUUCGAAUCCUUCUACCCCAGCCA
This 74-nucleotide transfer RNA is filed under the name Chloroflexota bacterium. Its description in RNAcentral is "Chloroflexi bacterium tRNA-Gln". It matches the Rfam family "tRNA". From Rfam's summary of the family: Transfer RNA (tRNA) molecules are approximately 80 nucleotides in length. Their secondary structure includes four short double-helical elements and three loops (D, anti-codon, and T loops). Lineage: Bacteria; Bacillati; Chloroflexota. The record is from RNAcentral.